RNAcentral lists this ribosomal RNA (495 nucleotides) under uncultured bacterium. Its description in RNAcentral is "partial 16S ribosomal RNA". It matches the Rfam family "Bacterial small subunit ribosomal RNA", at positions 28 to 506 of the family's 1533-position model. The record is from RNAcentral.
GAUGAACGCUGGCGGCGUGCCUAAUACAUGCAAGUCGAGCGAACAGACGAGGAGCUUGCUCCUCUGACGUUGCGGCGGACGGGAGAGUAACACGAGGAUAACCUACCUAUAAGACUGGGCUAACUUCGGGAAACCGGAGCUAAUACAGGAUAAUAUAUUGCACCGCAUGGUUCAAUAGUGAAAGACGGUUUUGCUGUCACAUAUAGAUGGAUCCGCGCCGCAUUAGCUAGUUGGUAAGGUAACGGCUUACCAAGGCAACGAUGCGUAGCCGAGGUGAGAGGGUGAUCGGCCACACUGGACCUGAGACGCGGUCCAGACCCCUACGGGAGGCAGCAGUGGGGAAUGUACCGCAAUGGGCGAAAGCCUGACGGAGCACCGCCGCGUGAAUGAUGAAGGGCCUCGGAUCGUAAAUCUCUGUUAUUAGGGAAGAGGAAAUGUGUAAGUAACUAUGCACGUCUUGACGGUACCUAAUGAGUAAGCAACGGCUAACUACGU